This 2264-nucleotide ribosomal RNA is filed under the name Salmonella enterica. Its description in RNAcentral is "bacterial LSU rRNA". It matches the Rfam family "Bacterial large subunit ribosomal RNA", at positions 543 to 2802 of the family's 2925-position model. The record is from RNAcentral. Lineage: Bacteria; Pseudomonadati; Pseudomonadota; Gammaproteobacteria; Enterobacterales; Enterobacteriaceae.
GUUCAACCUCAAAAGAAGCAGAGGGGGCUUAGUGGUGGGGUGACUGCGUACCUUUUGUAUAAUGGGUCAGCGACUUAUAUUCUGUAGCAAGGUUAACCGUAUAGGGGAGCCGCAGGGAAACCGAGUCUUAACCGGGCGUUAAGUUGCAGGGUAUAGACCCGAAACCCGGUGAUCUAGCCAUGGGCAGGUUGAAGGUUGGGUAACACUAACUGGAGGACCGAACCGACUAAUGUUGAAAAAUUAGCGGAUGACCUGUGGCUGGGGGUGAAAGGCCAAUCAAACCGGGAGAUAGCUGGUUCUCCCCGAAAGCUAUUUAGGUAGCGCCUCGUGAACUCAUCUCCGGGGGUAGAGCACUGUUUCGGCUAGGGGGCCAUCCCGGCUUACCAACCCGAUGCAAACUGCGAAUACCGGAGAAUGUUAUCACGGGAGACACACGGCGGGUGCUAACGUCCGUCGUGAAGAGGGAAACAACCCAGACCGCCAGCUAAGGUCCCAAAGUCAUGGUUAAGUGGGAAACGAUGUGGGAAGGCCCAGACAGCCAGGAUGUUGGCUUAGAAGCAGCCAUCAUUUAAAGAAAGCGUAAUAGCUCACUGGUCGAGUCGGCCUGCGCGGAAGAUGUAACGGGGCUAAACCAUGCACCGAAGCUGCGGCAGCGACACUAUGUGUUGUUGGGUAGGGGAGCGUUCUGUAAGCCUGUGAAGGUGGCCUGUGAGGGUUGCUGGAGGUAUCAGAAGUGCGAAUGCUGACAUAAGUAACGAUAAAGCGGGUGAAAAGCCCGCUCGCCGGAAGACCAAGGGUUCCUGUCCAACGUUAAUCGGGGCAGGGUGAGUCGACCCCUAAGGCGAGGCCGAAAGGCGUAGUCGAUGGGAAACGGGUUAAUAUUCCCGUACUUGGUGUUACUGCGAAGGGGGGACGGAGAAGGCUAUGUUGGCCGGGCGACGGUUGUCCCGGUUUAAGCGUGUAGGUGUGUGUUCCAGGUAAAUCCGGUUCACUUUAACACUGAGGCGUGAUGACGAGGCACUACGGUGCUGAAGCAACAAAUGCCCUGCUUCCAGGAAAAGCCUCUAAGCAUCAGGUAACAUCAAAUCGUACCCCAAACCGACACAGGUGGUCAGGUAGAGAAUACCAAGGCGCUUGAGAGAACUCGGGUGAAGGAACUAGGCAAAAUGGUGCCGUAACUUCGGGAGAAGGCACGCUGACAUGUAGGUGAAGUGAUUUACUCAUGGAGCUGAAGUCAGUCGAAGAUACCAGCUGGCUGCAACUGUUUAUUAAAAACACAGCACUGUGCAAACACGAAAGUGGACGUAUACGGUGUGACGCCUGCCCGGUGCCGGAAGGUUAAUUGAUGGGGUCAGCGCAAGCGAAGCUCCUGAUCGAAGCCCCGGUAAACGGCGGCCGUAACUAUAACGGUCCUAAGGUAGCGAAAUUCCUUGUCGGGUAAGUUCCGACCUGCACGAAUGGCGUAAUGAUGGCCAGGCUGUCUCCACCCGAGACUCAGUGAAAUUGAACUCGCUGUGAAGAUGCAGUGUACCCGCGGCAAGACGGAAAGACCCCGUGAACCUUUACUAUAGCUUGACACUGAACAUUGAGCCUUGAUGUGUAGGAUAGGUGGGAGGCUUUGAAGUGUGGACGCCAGUCUGCAUGGAGCCGACCUUGAAAUACCACCCUUUAAUGUUUGAUGUUCUAACGUGGACCCGUAAUCCGGGUUGCGGACAGUGUCUGGUGGGUAGUUUGACUGGGGCGGUCUCCUCCUAAAGAGUAACGGAGGAGCACGAAGGUUGGCUAAUCCUGGUCGGACAUCAGGAGGUUAGUGCAAUGGCAUAAGCCAGCUUGACUGCGAGCGUGACGGCGCGAGCAGGUGCGAAAGCAGGUCAUAGUGAUCCGGUGGUUCUGAAUGGAAGGGCCAUCGCUCAACGGAUAAAAGGUACUCCGGGGAUAACAGGCUGAUACCGCCCAAGAGUUCAUAUCGACGGCGGUGUUUGGCACCUCGAUGUCGGCUCAUCACAUCCUGGGGCUGAAGUAGGUCCCAAGGGUAUGGCUGUUCGCCAUUUAAAGUGGUACGCGAGCUGGGUUUAGAACGUCGUGAGACAGUUCGGUCCCUAUCUGCCGUGGGCGCUGGAGAACUGAGGGGGGCUGCUCCUAGUACGAGAGGACCGGAGUGGACGCAUCACUGGUGUUCGGGUUGUCAUGCCAAUGGCACUGCCCGGUAGCUAAAUGCGGAAGAGAUAAGUGCUGAAAGCAUCUAAGCACGAAACUUGCCCCGA